GUGUCAGCCGCCGCGGUAAUACAGAGGUCCCAAGCGUUGUUCGGAUUCACUGGGCGUAAAGGGUGCGUAGGUGGUGAGGUAAGUCUGAUGUGAAAUCCCGCAGCUCAACUGCGGAACUGCAUCGGAUACUAUCUUGCUAGAGGGUUUGAGGGGGGACUGGAAUUCUCGGUGUAGCAGUGAAAUGCGUAGAUAUCGAGAGGAACACCAGUGGCGAAGGCGAGUCCCUGGAAAACUCCUGACACUGAGGCACGAAAGCUAGGGGAGCAAACAGGAUUAGAUACCCCCGUAGUCC
RNAcentral lists this ribosomal RNA (292 nucleotides) under uncultured bacterium. RNAcentral's name for it is "partial 16S ribosomal RNA". It matches the Rfam family "Bacterial small subunit ribosomal RNA", at positions 505 to 796 of the family's 1533-position model. The record is from RNAcentral.